RNAcentral lists this long non-coding RNA (1372 nucleotides) under Homo sapiens (human). Its description in RNAcentral is "non-protein coding lnc-TMCO3-3:1". The record is from RNAcentral. Lineage: Eukaryota; Metazoa; Chordata; Mammalia; Primates; Hominidae.
CACUGGGGUCUGAGGAAAAGAGACAGUGUGAUCCGCUCCAGUGAAUGGGGAAGCAGGAGAGGGUCAGAAACCUGAAUGGGUCAGCCCAGAAUCCAGCAUUGCCAACACAUCCCUGGCCCUCCCCUCCUGCCCAGGUGACAGGUGUGGCAUAUGCUGGUCCUCAGCCCUGCCCAGGAGACAGUUGUGGUGUCUGUGGGUCUUCAGCCCUGCCCAGGUGACAGGUGUGGUGUGUGCUGGUCUUCAGCUGUGCCCAAGAGACAGUUGUGGUGUGCACGGGUCCUCAGCCCUGCCCAGGUGACAGGUGUGCUGUGUGCUGGUCCUCAGCCCUGCCCAGGUGACAGGCGUGCUGUGUGCUGGUUCUCAGCCCUGCCCAGGUGACAGGUGUGCUGUGCACGCGUCCUCAGCUAUACACAGGUGUCAGGCGUGAUGCGUGUGGGUCCUCAGCCCUGCCCAGGUGACAGGUGUGCUGUGCACGCGUCCUCAGCUAUACACAGGUGUCAGGCGUGAUGCGUGUGGGUCCUCAGCCCUGCCCAGGUGACAGGUGUGCUGUGUGCUGAUCCUCAGCCCUGUCCAGGUGACAGGUGUGGUGUGUGCGGGUCCUCAGCCGUGCCCAGGUGACAGGUGUGCUGUGUGUGGGUCCUCACCCUGCCCAGGUGACAGUUGUGCUGUGUGUGGGUCCUCACCCUGCCCAGGUGACAGUUGUGCUGUGUGCAGGUCCUCACCCACCCAGGUGACAGGUGUGGUGUACACGGGUCCUCAGCCGUGCCCAGGUGACAGGUGUGGUGUACGUGGGUCCUCAGCCCUGCCCAGGUGAUAGGUGUGGUGUGCGCGGGUCCUCAGCCGUGCCCAGGUGACAGGUGUGCUGUGUGCAGGUCCUCACCCAGCCAGGUGACAGGUGUGGUGUACACGGGUCCUCAGCCGUGCCCAGGUGACAGGUGUGGUGUACGUGGGUCCUCAGCCCUGUCCAGGUGGCAGGUGUCCUGUGUGUGGGUCCUCACCCUGCCCAGGUGACAGGUGUGCUGUGCACGCGUCCUCAGCUAUACACAGGUGUCAGGCGUGAUGCGUGUGGGUCCUCAGCCCUGCCCAGGUGACAGGUGUGCUGUGUGCUGAUCCUCAGCCCUGCCCAGGUGACAGGUGUGCUGUGUGCUGAUCCUCAGCCCUGUCCAGGUGACAGGUAUGGUGUGCGCGGGUCCUCAGCCCUGCCCAGGUGACAGGUGUGCUGUGUGUGGGUCCUCUGCCCUGCCCAGGUGAUAGGUGUGGUGUGCAUGAGUCCUCAGCCCUGCCCAGGUGACAGGUGUCCCGUGUGCUGGUCCUCAGCUGUGCCCAGGCUUGGGCUGUGGGUGCCGCCCGUUCCCAGUGGACAUGGAAUCCU